Sycon ciliatum is the source of this 1210-nucleotide long non-coding RNA. RefSeq lists it as uncharacterized. The transcript has 4 exons. NCBI's taxonomy places the organism in Eukaryota, Metazoa, Porifera, Calcarea, Leucosolenida, Sycettidae. The record is from RefSeq and is a predicted model, not a curated record.
GGACUGCUGUUGGCUGCGUCAUGCGCGGAUGUGGUUCCCACUCCUUCACAAAUGGUCUGGCCUUGCGCGAAAGGGUUCAUCUAUAAGCAUUUCACGCACUUUUAUGUACUCCAAACCCAUGAUAAUUGCCAUCUACAUGUAUUUGCCCAAAAGGGGUCUCGUUUCUCCACGCUUUGUACCAGUCCUCUACAGCAUAUAAUUAUAUCCUCCUUUGAUUCUGUCUCAUUUGGUUGUGAGCUCUUAUAAUAUUAAUUUUCAUAGCGAUCUGAUGCUCACCAUCCGUUCCUUUAUCACUGGACAGUUAUCUCCUUCGGGUUGCGAAUUGAUACUAUUCCACGUCAAAGGUGGUCUCGGGUACAGGCAGGUAGGCAAGUCACCGUUUGCUUCCCAUCAUAACGGAAUCCAGAGACAGCGGUAUCUGGGCUUCUUUCGUUUAGUUUUGGCAAUCGACCAGCCGUUUCAAGAAUACCGGUUUCCUUCUUCUUACGGACGAGAGGCAUAAGCGGUUGACCAUAACCCAAAUGCGUGGUGACUCCAGAAAAUGAGACCUAACACUCAUUGGCAGGUGAUAUCUGCCAAAGGGGUUAUUGUCAUCGCAGCACUCCUUACGCUGCUGACAGCCAAUGAAGUGUCAACACAGAACCUCGGCGACAUACAUUGCACUGUUCCAAGGCAGACUGGUGGAUUAAGAGUGCCCAACCCUGGAUCUACUGUCCUCCACGGAAUAGUAGUGAAUGUACAAUGUGAUGCUGGUUACUACAUUACCGGUCAAUCACAAUCUACCACGCGGAAGCGUAUCACGUGUGGAAAUGGCGGUCAAUGGACACCAUCUGUGCCAUCUUGUUCACACAUACAUUGCACCGUUCCAAGGCAGACUGGUGGAUUAAGAGUGACCAACCCUGGAUCUACUGUUCACUACGGAAUAGUAGUGAAUGUACAAUGUGAUGCUGGUUACUACAUUACCGGUCAAUCACAAUCUACCCCGCGGAAGGACAUCACGUGUGGAAAUGGCGGUAAAUGGACACCAUCUGUGCCAUCUUGUUCACAGAUAUAUUGCACUGUUCCACAUCACAUUCUUCGAUUAAGAGUGGUCUACCCUGGAACUACUGUUCUCCGCGGAAUAACAGUGAAUGUACAAUGUGAUGCUGGUUACUACAUUACCGGUCAAUCACAAUCUACCUCGCAUAAGAAUAUCACUUGUGGAAAUGGC